AGAGUUUGAUCAUGGCUCAGGAUGAACGCUAGCUACAGGCUUAACACAUGCAAGUCGAGGGGCAGCAUGAUCAAGCUUGCUUUGAUUGAUGGCGACCGGCGCACGGGUGAGUAACGCGUAUCCAACCUUCCCUAUAGUAGUGGAUAGCCCGGCGAAAGUCGGAUUAAUACACUAUGUUGUAUUUAGAGGACAUCUGAAGAAUACCAAAGGCUUGCCGCUAUAGGAUGGGGAUGCGUCUGAUUAGAUAGUAGGCGGGGUAACGGCCCACCUAGUCGACGAUCAGUAGGGGUUCUGAGAGGAAGGUCCCCCACAUUGGAACUGAGACACGGUCCAAACUCCUACGGGAGGCAGCAGUGAGGAAUAUUGGUCAAUGGACGGGAGUCUGAACCAGCCAAGUAAGCGUGCAGGAUGACGGCCCUAUGGGUUGUAAACUGCUUUUAUACGGGGAUAAAGUGAGCCACGUGUGGCUUUUUGUAGGUACCGUAUGAAUAAGGACCGGCUAAUUCCGUGCCAGCCGCCGC
RNAcentral lists this ribosomal RNA (521 nucleotides) under uncultured bacterium. Its description in RNAcentral is "bacterial SSU rRNA". It matches the Rfam family "Bacterial small subunit ribosomal RNA", at positions 8 to 518 of the family's 1533-position model. The record is from RNAcentral.